CCUACGGGGGGCAGCAGUGAGGAAUAUUGGUCAAUGGGCGCGAGCCUGAACCAGCCAAGUCGCGUGAGGGAGGACGGCCCUACGGGUUGUAAACCUCUUUUGCCGGGGAGCAACGGGCGUCACGUGUGGCGCCACUGAGAGUACCCGGAGAAAAAGCAUCGGCAAACUCCGUGCCAGCAGCCGCGGUAAAACGGAGGAUGGGAGCGUUAUCCGGAUUGAUGGGGUUUAAAGGGGGCGUAGGCGGAUCGUUAAGUCAGGGGUCAAAUUGAGGGGCUCAACCCCUUCCCGCCAUUGAAACUGGCGUUCUUGAGUGGAAGAGAAGUAUGCGGAAUGCGUGGUGUAGCGGUGAAAUGCAUAGAUAUCACGCAGAACCCCGAUUGCGAAGGCAGCAUGCCGGCUUCCGACUGACGCUGAAGCACGAAAGCGUGGGGAUCGAACAGGAUUAGAUACCCCUGUAGUC
RNAcentral lists this ribosomal RNA (460 nucleotides) under uncultured bacterium. Its description in RNAcentral is "partial 16S ribosomal RNA". It matches the Rfam family "Bacterial small subunit ribosomal RNA", at positions 338 to 795 of the family's 1533-position model. The record is from RNAcentral.